This 965-nucleotide ribosomal RNA is filed under the name Laminatubus paulbrooksi. Its description in RNAcentral is "SSU rRNA". It matches the Rfam family "Eukaryotic small subunit ribosomal RNA", at positions 57 to 963 of the family's 1831-position model. The record is from RNAcentral. Lineage: Eukaryota; Metazoa; Annelida; Polychaeta; Sabellida; Serpulidae.
GUGUAAGUACACGCCUUAGUAUGGUGAAACUGCGAAUGGCUCAUUAAAUCAUAUGUGAUUUCUUAGAUCGUUGCGUCCUUUCGGGGACGACUGGAUAACUGUGGCAAUUCUAGAGCUAAUACAUGCAAUCAAGCUCCGACCUCACGGGACGAGCGCUCUUAUUAGACCAAGGCCAACCUGCUAGUUCGCUGGCAGUUUGCUGUGGUGACUCUGGAUAAAGCUCAGUUAAUCGCAUGACCUUUGCGUCGGCGAUGUAUCUUUCAAGCGUAUGCCCUAUCAGCUGUCGACGGUAGGGUAGCGGCCUACCGUGGCAAUUACGGGUAACGGGGGAUCAGGGUCCGAUCCCGGAGAGUAAGCCUGAGAGACGGCUUAUACAUCUAAGGAAGGCAGCAGGCGCGCAAAUUACCCAAUGGGGACACCCUGAGGUAGUGACAAGAAAUAACAAUACGCGACUCUUUCGAGGCCGCGUAAUUGGAAUGAGCACAUUCUAAAUCCUUUAGCGAGGAUCAAUUGGAGGGCAAGUCUGGUGCCAGCAGCCGCGGUAAUUCCAGCUCCAAUAGCGUAUAUUAAAGUUGCUGCAGUUAAAAAGCUCGUAGUUGACAUCCGACGCUCGUCUCGGCGGUCCUGUUCACGCAGGCACUGCCUUGACGGCAUCUACACACUGGCUUGCGGUCGUGCACGCUCGGCGACGGGUAGCACAGAUCGGAGCCCCGGGUGCCCUUCAUUGGGUGCCCGCGGGUGGCCUUUGCGUUUACUUUGAAGAAAUUAGAGUGUUCAAAGCGGGCUCUUGACAGCUCGUAUACUCGGUACAUGGAAUAAUGGAAUAGGACCCUGGUUCAUUUCCGUUGGUCUAUGGGCAAUGGGUAAUGAUUAAAAGGGACUGCCGGGGGCAUUGGUAUGGCGGGGGGAGAGGUGAAAUUCUGUGAUCCUCGCCAGACUGACUACAGCGAAAGCAUUUGCCAAGA